AAUCAACGCUGGCGGCGUGCCUCAGACAUGCAAGUCGAACGAUUAAACUUUCCUUCGGGAAAGAUAUAAAGUGGCGCACGGGUGAGUAACACGUAGGUAAUGUACCUUUGGGUGGGGAAUAACCAUCGGAAACGAUGGCUAAUACCGCAUAAUGCAGCGGCAUCGCAAGAUGACAGUUGUUAAAGAUUUAUCGCCUAAAGAGCAGCCUGCGGCAGAUUAGGUAGNGGUAAGGUAAUGGCUUACCAAGCCUGCGAUCUGUAACCGACCUGAGAGGGUGGUCGGUCACACUGACACUGAAUAACGGGUCAGACUCCUACGGGAGCAGCAGUCGGGAAUUUGGGCAAUGGGCGAAAGCCUGACCCAGCAACGCCGCGUGAAGGACGAAGUCUUUC
Molecule: ribosomal RNA, 392 nt
Filed under: uncultured bacterium
Lineage: Bacteria
Description: bacterial SSU rRNA
Rfam family: Bacterial small subunit ribosomal RNA
Source: RNAcentral